Molecule: ribosomal RNA, 470 nt
Filed under: uncultured bacterium
Lineage: Bacteria
Description: partial 16S ribosomal RNA
Rfam family: Bacterial small subunit ribosomal RNA
Source: RNAcentral
GACGAACGCUGGCGGCGUGCUUAACACAUGCAAGUCGAACGGUGAACGAGGGAGCUUGCUCCCUCCGGAUCAGUGGCGAACGGGUGAGUAACACGUGAGCAAUCUGCCCCGAACUCUGGGAUAAGCGUUGGAAACGACGUCUACUACCAGAUACGACGCGGGAGGGCAUCCUCUCCGCGUGGAAAGAACUUCGGUUCGGGAUGGGCUCGCGGCCUAUCUGCUUGUUGGUGGGGGAACGGCUCACCAAGGCGACGCAGGCUAGCCGACAUGAGAGGGUGACCGGCGACAAGGGGACUGAGAGACGGACCAGACGGCAAUGGGAGACAGCGGUGGGGAAUAUGGCACAGUGGGAGCAAGCCUGAUGAAGAAACGCCGCGGGAGGGACGACGGCCUUCGGGUUGUAAAAGUCAGCUGGCAGGGAAGAAGCGAAAGUGACGGUACCUGAAGAAAAAGCACCGGCUAACUACGUG